UGUUAUUUUGAUACUAUUACCUGGUAUUAUAUUUAAUGUGAAAACCAGCACAAACUGCCAAAUUAUGUUGAUGUCACAUGUUUUACAAACAUACCAGCCAUUAAAUGUAAGAAUAAAACAUGCAAAAAGGAUUCUGAAGAAAAAAUAAAAAGAAUAAUGUCGCAAAAAAUAUUGUCUAAAACGGUCUCGAACCCAUGACCCCUACGCUCAUGGUUUAAGUUUUCACCAGUGGUUCUCCCUACUGAGCUAUAGUGGCAGUUAUGUACAAUUGUGUAUUGUAAGAUUUAUAAAUGGUACAUUGUUGGUUACACCCGUAUGAAAUAAACAGGGGUAUUACGGGCGUAAAAUACACGUAAAACACACGUAACUAUACUUUUAGACCAGGAACUGGGACGUAACUCAAAUUUUACAGUUUCCGACUCAAUAUUACGUGCGUACAAUUUUGCAAAUGACGGGCGUAAAUUUAUUUCAAAUGCAAACAUUUAUACUAAAAUAAUACAUUGCAUACUGAAUACACAGCAUCAUAAUGUAAUGUUUCAUUUUAGCAGUCAUGGGAAGAGCAAAGUUCCAGGAUGAAGAUCUUAUGCGGCAAAAUACCGAGGAGAUGGAGAGGGCAAAAUUGAGGGUGUGUUUUGUAAACAAAAUAGUAGGUUAUGGUGUUUUUGCCAAAACUGCUAUAUCAAAAGGUGAACUCUACAUUGUAGAGUACAGAGGACCAUUGUUAACAAGCGACACUGAUAUUCCCUGACACUACGUAUACAUUACUAUUUCCAGCAUCAGGGCAAAGAGUAUUGAAAAGCUCGCCGAAUGGGCGUUUACAUCAAACACAGGUAGUAAAUGACGUAGUGUCACUCUAGUGAUCGGUGAGAGGGUAAUGUUUGCUCCACCCAAACGUAUAUUUCUAGCGGCCGCAGUGGAAAGAAGCGAGAAAAGCAGCCUCAUAAAAUUUUAGUUACAAAAGUAAAAUAUUAUGGGAGUUUAUUUCAAGAUAUUAUCCUGCAUAAUCAUUACAAUAUAUGUACACAUACACAGCAUAGACACUUAAAACUAUUUACAUUAUAGAUCUGAACUGUCUGAAGAUCGACAUUGAUGUGUAUAAUUUGUAUUUAUAGCAACUCUCAACGAAAUACAACACAACUGGUUUCAUGUAUUUAUUUUGAAUUGAUGUAUCUAGUCUUCGUAUAAUAUCCACGGAUGUCGGUAAUGGAUUUUCUUUCAAAUGCAGAAAAUAAGGCAUUAUCAAUGUUGUCCUUACACAUUGAGCUAUAAAGUUCUCACUGCGAUCAAAUGGUCAGUAUACGGUCGCGUAUAUUUCGAAAAUACGGGAGUAUACGGGAUGUAUAUAACAAAUAUACGGACCUAAUAUAUAAUCCCGUAUUCGGAACAUCUAGUAUACGGGAAGUCCGUAUAUUUGUCAUGCAUAUACGGGAUCCCGUAUACGCCGAAUAUACAUAAAUGUAUAUUUCCCGUAUAUAUGAAGUAUACGAACUUUAAAAAAAAUCCAUAGAAAUGGUGUUUAUUCGUGUCCUGCUUUAACACAAGUUUCAUUUUCAUGUAUUCGAAGAGUCUUGAGACUUUUUUCCCGUAUACUUUCCGUAUUUUAGAAUGUACGGAACACGUAUACGAGCCUUUAUAUUCCGGAUAUACGUAGUAUACGGAUGCCGUAUUUUUAUCAUAUACGGACUGUAAUUGCAUCUAAUAUACGGGACAUAUACGGACUUGUAUUUUCUAAUAUACGAGCUUCGGAUGUGUUUUGUAUACGCAUGUUUUCUGUAUACGCAUGAUAUACUUAGUAUACGGAUCCGGUACUUGUGUCAUAUACGGGGAAUAUACGAAACUGUAUUUUUUGAUGUACGGACUACGGACUAGUCCCGUAUAUGCAUGGUAUACGCAAUAUACGGAUCCCGUACUUGUGUCAUAUACGGAAUGUAUUUGCAUCUGAUACACGGGUAUAUACUGACCUGUAGUUUUUGAUAUACGGGCCAGGUUUUUUUCCGUUUAUGCAAGAUAUGCGUAGUAUACAGAUCACAUAUUUGUGUCACAUUCAGAUCUAGACUGAAUUUGGUUUUCGUAUUCGGGGAAUUCACUGACCAGUAUUUCUAAAAGAUACGUUUACCAGACUUUUCCCGUAUAUGCAUUAUGUGUAGUAUACGAAUCCCGUAUUUUUCUUUUAUGUGAACUGAUUUUGUAUAUGGGAACACAAUGAAAGAUGACAUAAAAUGAAGGUCAGUCAUACCUACAGCAGAAUACAGUAUGUUAGAAAAGCAAGACAAAGACAGGGUAUGAGAAAAAAGUUCAUAUUGUUAUUAAUUGGAGACAUGUCAGAUUAAAUUAACAUUUUAUUCAACUUAAAUAAUUUAAAACAGUUUUUCAAACGAUUAUGAAUUAUUUUCAUUUCUUGUCCAAAUGUAAUAAGCAGAAAAUGUAGGUAAUCAAUAACAUCAAGCAUUUCUUAUGUUCAUUUCUAAUUGAAAAACUAGUAAUUCGCACAUUUAAUUCUGCGCAGUUGACUCAACAAAUCAGUUGAGUAUCACUUCUUUUACUACUGUUAGUACAUGUUUUCGUUAUUCCCAUGAAUGUUGAUUACCGCUAUAGGCUUUUCGAUUUGCCGUCUGCUAAGAAGAGCAGUACACCCCUUCUAAUGUCCGAAGAUGUAUUCAAAACGAGCGCUUUAAAAAGACGCUUGUUGGUUCUGUGCUGGAACUCGAUAUGUAAGCAGGUUACAGAUGAUGCACCCCAUGGAAAUAUUCAGUUUCCUGAUCUCAAUAAGUUUAAGCUUUUAUCUGUUGUUUCGAAUGUCACUGAGAACGAAUGGCUCAUCCGGGCUGUCUGUCUGCAUCUGUUGAUCAAACUAGUAGAACUACUCACAUAAGCAUAUUCUCUAUCGUGAAAAUAAAUAGUCGUCCAGUUUUCUGAUUCCAGUAAACAACUUUUGUGUCAACCUGGAAUAAAAAAUGCACGCAUUAAAAGUUAUAAAAAUGGACUCUUGCAAUUCAUAGAUACUGAAAAUUAUAUCUAUUAAACGAUGUGAAAAUUAUGACGAAUAAAAUGACAUGUGGGCAGGGAUGACAACAUCAUUUAAUUGUCAGAACGCACCAUACUCAUUUCGUCGUGUAAAGAAAUUAGAUAUCAUUAAAUGUGCCUGUUGAUAUUUAAUACAAGUUAUCUACAGUGUUUUAUUUGCAUUUUAUGGUUAUAUUACGUUAAAAUCUAUCUCCUAAAUUAUAUUUAAUAUAAAAUGCAUGGUGUUCAUAGUGCCGUCACACGUUGUCCGGCCAAUCCUCUCCUCAUUUUGAAGGAUUGUCUUCAAACAACUUUCUUCAAGAGAGAUUUUACCUGUCACAAAACUUCAAAAGCACAUAAAGUGCGGUAAUGGGAUCUAAAUAACACUUGCCCAUUUUAUUCCUACCAAAAUGUCAAAACUACAUCCACAGUAUAAUUUUAAAACAAAGCUAGCGUUAACGUAAACUAUGCUAAAUUAGUGUUCUUUAACCUGUCCGCCAUUACGCAAUCCUCCGUGUUAGAACUUAUUCAAAAUGCACAAUAAUUCUUUUGUACAGUUUUGAUAAAAUAUAUGAGAGUGACAUCAUAGUCGCGUUGUUAAGCUUUUUUUUUUAAAUUAAUUUCAAACAUCUCUUUAAACUUUGUGACUGAACAAGUUCUGAACGAUAUAUUUAAUUUGCCACUCAAGGUUUUAAUUUUUUGGUUAAACAAUCUGAAGAGUUUCCAGAAUUUCCAAUCUCGCGGUCAGUAUAAUAUUCUCAGACAAGUAAAAUAUUCAUCAUAAACGUCUCAUCUCUUCAUGUUAGAAUAAAUAUAAUGCAUCUCGAUUUUUAAUCCAGCAGUCCUGUAUUAAAGUAUGCAAAUAGAAAACUAACUGUAAAUCUGGAUUUAAAAUUAUCCAAAUUUCAUAGAUUAACCUAACUAAUAAAUAAUACCAGAGUAUCAAUAUAAUUUACAUUAUUUCAAAUAAAAAUUUUGCCGAAUAUUCGAUAAUAAUUAUGUAACAGUGUAUACAUGUCCAAUUUGUGGUAAAAUGAAAUAAAUGGUACUAAUUUGAUUGAAUGUUUGAAGAUCGAAUUUACAGACAUACUCGAUUUCAUUCCUAACAAAUGACCACUUUGUUUUCAGAAUGAUUGGUUUUGCACGAGCGCAUGUCUAUUCCUGCACGUGAACAGGCCUGACUAGAGUAACAGAAAAACGGUAGACAUGCAAAGAUAGACCUUCCCCCGAGAUGUUUAUUGUUCUCAGAGAUUUUUUUUCUCGUAAUAUAUAGACCCUAUGCAAACUGGCUUUAAUAUUCCUUAAAUGCACAGGAUAUACUUGACGAUAAAAUUCUAUAAAUGACAUCUGUUAUUUAUGAAUACGGAAUAAAAUAUUGAAAGGAGGUUCGAUUAAAAAGCAGAAUUAUCAGUUCAUCAAGGAUAUCUUCCAAGCUAAAGUUGUCACAUUAUGAAACUUAAAAUAGGAAUUUUCGUUUCAAUAAACUAUUUAAAAAUGUCAUAUUUAGAAAAAAAGAUGGUCGCGCCGGGAAUCGAACCCUGACCGUCGUGGCAAUAAAGAAGUUUUCCGCUGUUCUUACCAAUAACGCAAUGGAGGGUUUAGUGUUUAAUGCGCGUUAAAUAUACAAAUUUCAUCGUAAAAAUUACGCAAAAUUUUGGGUGAAACUCGACGUCAGUUUUAUGUGUUUUGCGUUCAAAAUCGUUUGCCUCCAAUGUGACGUCUAAUUAAACUUGACAAAUUAUAUAUCAUUGGAGAGAUAAUUUUAACAAUUUUUGCUGUAUUUUGGUUGUAUAUAGAAACGCUACUUAGAAAACCUGUUAAGUACAUCAUUUUGCGCCCUGCUGAAAAAAAAGACGUUUGUGGUCAUAUUUGAAGAUUUUACAGCUGCAAAAUGGAGAAAAACAGAGAACUGAAACUGUCAAUCGGAAAUAUCGUCAACUUUAAUUUGUGAAAAUGUCAUAAUGGUCCGUUGAAAAUCGAUCGGUGGCGCAUAUUUAAAAUAACAGACUUAGCUGAGCAAUUACUUAUUUUUUGUAUGGUCCUGAAAGUAAAUGUUUAUUUUAGAUGUAUAAUAUGUAACGCUUUUUAAAUAUGUUAGAUACCAUAUUCAUAUUACUAAAUAUUACUUUUAUUUGACAAUAAAUAAAGUA
Mercenaria mercenaria is the source of this 5153-nucleotide long non-coding RNA. RefSeq lists it as uncharacterized. NCBI's taxonomy places the organism in Eukaryota, Metazoa, Mollusca, Bivalvia, Venerida, Veneridae. The record is from RefSeq and is a predicted model, not a curated record. The transcript has 3 exons.